GCUGGGUGUGGUGGUGUAUGCCUGUAAUCCCAGCAGCGUGGGAGGCUGAGACAGGAGGAUCGAGAGUUCAAAGCCAGCCUCAGCAAAAGAGAGGUGCUAAGCAACUCAGUGAGACCCUGUCUCUA
This 125-nucleotide small RNA is filed under the name Marmota monax (woodchuck). Lineage: Eukaryota; Metazoa; Chordata; Mammalia; Rodentia; Sciuridae. The record is from RNAcentral.